AGUAAGCCGGGAGCUAAGGUGAGGCCGAAAGGCGUAGCCGAUGCACAUACGGUAGAUAUUCCGUAGCCGCCAAAAGAUUUAAGUAAGAGGACACCUUGAAAGGACUUGACCCGGGCGAUGGUUGCCCCGGGCGAAAGGGACCGAAAUUUAGUAGGGAAGCAAGUUUGGACGAGGGCGAGAAAAGUCUUAUGUAUAUCUUCGGCGCCCGUACCGCAAACCGACACAGGUAGAUAGGAAGAGAAUUCUAAGGCCAACGGGAGAAGGGUAGUUAAGGAACUCGGCAAAUUGACCCCGUAACUUAGGAAUAAGGGGUGCCACAGCGAUGUGGUCGCAGAGAAUAGGCCCAGGCAACUGUUUAUCAAAAACACAGGUCUCUGCCAAAUCGAAAGAUGAAGUAUAGGGGCUGACACCUGCCCGGUGCUGGAAGGUUAAGAGGAGAUGUGCAAGCAUUGAAUUGAAGCCCCAGUAAACGGCGGCCGUAACGAUAACGGUCCUAAGGUAGCGAAAUUCCUUGUCGGGUAAGUUCCGACCCGCACGAAUGGUGUAAUGAUCUGGGCACUGUCCCAAUUACCCGCCCGGCGAAAUUGUAGUACCGGUGAAGAUGCCGGUUACCCGCGACAAGACGGAAAGACCCCAUGGAGCUUUACUGUAGCUUAAUAUUGGGUUUCGAUAAUUUAUGUAUAGGAUAGGCGGGAGACUAGGAAACCGUGGCGCCAGCCACGGCGGAGUCGACGUUGGAAUACCGCUCUUAAGUUAUUGGAAUUCUAACCUGCGGCCAUGAAUCUGGCCGGGGGACAUUGUUAGGUGGGCAGUUUGACUGGGGCGGUCGCCUCCAAAAAGGUAACGGAGGCGCUCAAAGGUUGGCUCAGCAUGGUUGGAAACCAUGCUUUAGAGUGUAAACGUGUAAGCCAGCCUAACUGCGAGGAUGACGGUCCGAGCAGUAACGAAAGUUGGAGUUAGUGAUCCGGCGGUAUGAGAGUGGAAUUGCCGUCGCUCAACGGAUAAAAGCUACCCUGGGGAUAACAGGCUGAUCUCCCCCAAGAGUCCACAUCGACGGGGAGGUUUGGCACCUCGAUGUCGGCUCAUCACAUCCUGGGGCUGUAUUCGGUCCCAAGGGUUCGGCUGUUCGCCGAUUAAAGUGGUACGCGAGCUGGGUUCAGAACGUCGUGAGACAGUUCGGUCCCUAUCUGUCGUGGGCGCAGGAUAUUUGAGGAGAGCUGUCCUUAGUACGAGAGGACCGGGAUGGACGCACCUCUGGCGCACCAGUUGUCACGCCAGUGGCACAGCUGGGCAACUAUGUGCGGAACGGAUAAACGCUGAAAGCAUCUAAGCGUGAAGCCGACUCCAAGAUUAGAUAUCCCAUAGCGUAAGCUAGUAAGACCCCUUGUAGACUACAAGGUUGAUAGGCUGCAUGUGUAAGCACGGUAACGUGUUCAGCUUGGCAGUACUAAUAGGUCGAGGGCUUGACU
RNAcentral lists this ribosomal RNA (1469 nucleotides) under metagenome. RNAcentral describes it as "bacterial LSU rRNA". It matches the Rfam family "Bacterial large subunit ribosomal RNA", at positions 1378 to 2925 of the family's 2925-position model. The record is from RNAcentral.